GUCGAACGCUGGCGGCGUGCCUAAUACAUGCAAGUUGAGCGCUGAAGGUUGGUACUUGUACCAACUGGAUGAGCAGCGAACGGGUGAGUAACGCGUGGGGAAUCUGCCCUUGAGCGGGGGACAACAUUUGGAAACGAAUGCUAAUACCGCAUAAAAACUUUAAACACAAGUUUUAAGUUUGGAAGAUGCAAUUGCAUCACUCAAAGAUGAUCCCGCGUUGUAUUAGCUAGUUGGUGAGGUAAAGGCUCACCAAGGCGAUGAUACAUAGCCGACCUGAGAGGGUGAUCGGCCACAUUGGGACUGAGACACGGCCCAAACUCCUACGGGAGGCAGCAGUAGGGAAUCUUCGGCAAUGGACGAAAGUCUGACCGAGCAACGCCGCGUGAGUGAAGAAGGUUUUCGGAUCGUAAAACUCUGUUGGUAGAGAGGAACGUUGGUGAGAGUGGAAAGCUCAUCAAGUGACGGUAACUACCCAGAAAGGGACGGCUAACUACGUG
This 497-nucleotide ribosomal RNA is filed under the name uncultured bacterium. Its description in RNAcentral is "partial 16S ribosomal RNA". It matches the Rfam family "Bacterial small subunit ribosomal RNA", at positions 28 to 507 of the family's 1533-position model. The record is from RNAcentral.